Molecule: ribosomal RNA, 468 nt
Filed under: uncultured bacterium
Lineage: Bacteria
Description: partial 16S ribosomal RNA
Rfam family: Bacterial small subunit ribosomal RNA
Source: RNAcentral
GACGAACGCUGGCGGCGUGCUUAACACAUGCAAGUCGAACGGAAAGGCCCUGCUUUUGUGGGGUGCUCGAGUGGCGAACGGGUGAGUAACACGUGAGUAACCUGCCCCUGACUUUGGGAUAACUUCAGGAAACUGGGGCUAAUACCGGAUAGGAGCUCCUGCUGCACGGUGGGGGUUGGAAAGUUUCGGCGGUUGGGGAUGGACUCGCGGCUUAUCAGCUUGUUGGUGGGGUAGUGGCUUACCAAGGCUUUGACGGGUAGCCGGCCUGAGAGGGUGACCGGCCACAUUGGGACUGAGAUACGGCCCAGACUCCUACGGGAGGCAGCAGUGGGAAGUAUUGCAGAAUGGGCGGAAGCCUGAUGCAGCAACGCCGCGUGCGGAAUGACGGCCUUCGGGUUGUAAACCGCUUUCGCCUGUGACGAAGCGUGAGUGACGGUAAUGGGUAAAGAAGCACCGGCUAACUACGUG